GUUGAAAUUAAGGAGUGCAGUUGACCAGUUUUCCUUAAGAUAUUCUUAUCUGGAACCGAUCGCCUCAAUAGUGUCCUUAGUUACAAG
Molecule: microRNA precursor, 87 nt
Filed under: Schistosoma mansoni
Lineage: Eukaryota; Metazoa; Platyhelminthes; Trematoda; Strigeidida; Schistosomatidae
Description: microRNA sma-mir-8432 precursor
Source: miRBase by way of RNAcentral